UACGAAGGGGGCUAGCGUUGUUCGGAAUUACUGGGCGUAAAGCGCGCGUAGGCGGUCUUCCAAGUCAGUGGUGAAAGCCCGGAGCUCAACUCCGGAACUGCCAUUGAAACUGUUAGACUUGAGGACGAGAGAGGUGAGUGGAAUUCCCAGUGUAGAGGUGAAAUUCGUAGAUAUUGGGAAGAACACCGGUGGCGAAGGCGGCUCACUGGCUCGUUUCUGACGCUCAGGCGCGACAGCGUGGGGAUCAAACAGG
This 253-nucleotide ribosomal RNA is filed under the name uncultured bacterium. RNAcentral describes it as "partial 16S ribosomal RNA". It matches the Rfam family "Bacterial small subunit ribosomal RNA", at positions 524 to 776 of the family's 1533-position model. The record is from RNAcentral.